This 34-nucleotide small RNA is filed under the name Arabidopsis thaliana (thale cress). RNAcentral describes it as "ATSL098840". Lineage: Eukaryota; Viridiplantae; Streptophyta; Magnoliopsida; Brassicales; Brassicaceae. The record is from RNAcentral.
AUCUAAUGAUUAUUUGCCUCCUCUCAUGGAAUCA